UACAGAGGAGCCAAGCGUUGUCCGGAUUGACUGGGCGUAAAGCGCACGCAGGCGGUCGGGCGCGUGGGGUGUGAAAUCUGGCCGCUUAACGGCCAGGCGCCAUCCCAUACGGCCGGACUGGAGUGAUGCAGAGGUCGGUGGAAUUGCCGGUGUAGUGGUGAAAUGCGUAGAUAUCGGGAGGAACACCGGUGGCGAAGGCGGCCCCCUGGUUGGAUACUGACGCUGAGACGCGAAAGCGUGGGGAGCAAACAGG
RNAcentral lists this ribosomal RNA (253 nucleotides) under uncultured bacterium. Its description in RNAcentral is "partial 16S ribosomal RNA". It matches the Rfam family "Bacterial small subunit ribosomal RNA", at positions 524 to 776 of the family's 1533-position model. The record is from RNAcentral.